ACCAGGGAGGGAUUCUUGCUCUUGCUCUGUUACCUUUUCUCUUGUUACUAAGGCCACUCAUAGAAAUCCAAAUUGUUUCUCUUUCCCUUUUUAGUUCUAGGAUGACAACUCAGCUGUUUCUGGAAAAAUUACAACCUUGGCCAGGACGUUCCAAAUAAGUUAAAACAAUCUCUACAUCUGAGGGAGACAGCCUUUUACGAUGGGCUCUUCCUGUAUUACCCAGGUUGACCCUCCUGCCUCAGACUCCUGAGAAGCUGGCAUUAGGGUGUGCACCACCAUUCCCAUCUGAAUAAGGGGCUGAGGACAGAGCAGAGAAGAAACAUUGAGGGAGAAGUAAAUGAGGGGAGAGAAGAAGAAACUGAGGAGGCCGUGAGCCUGGAUGCUGCAUGGGGGAGUGAAGAAUUUGAAUUGCUGGGAUGGCCAAGAAGUGUUUGGAGUCCAGCAUCACUCACUGGGGACAUGAUGACGUUUGUUCUGCAGCAGGGAAUGUCUUCCUAGCAUGACUGGCAGUGGAGAAUGUCUGUCUUUUACUGGAAAACCCAACUCCUACAUGAAUAUGCGAUCUGGCUCUGGGGCCUCAAGAAGAAAAUCACAAUAAUACUUUUUCUAUCAUCUUCAUUUGAUGGCAUUAUCCUUGGUAACUUGAUAUAAUUUUUUUUUUGGUACCGGGGAUCAAACUUGGGACCUUGCACUUGCGAGGCAGGUGCCAGAACCACUGAGCUAAAUCCCUGGCCCAACUUGAUAUAAUUUUUAUAAAAUAAAUUUACUUCUCUAUUUCUUCUACUUGACAAUAUGUCUUGUACUUUAUUCCAUGUAAGUACAGGUCCACUUCAUUCUUUUCAACAGUUAUGUUAUUGUGAUAUAUUAUAAUUUGUUGAUGAACA
Molecule: long non-coding RNA, 884 nt
Organism: Heterocephalus glaber (naked mole-rat)
Lineage: Eukaryota; Metazoa; Chordata; Mammalia; Rodentia; Bathyergidae
Source: RefSeq, a predicted model, not a curated record